UAAGACAUGCAAGUCGAACGAACUUAACUCAUUCUUUACGAUUGAGAGCCGUUAGUGACUGACUGGUGAGUAACACGUAAGCAACCUGCCUAUUAGAGGGGAAUAACAGUGAGAAAUCAUUGCUAAUACCGCAUAUGCUCACAGUACCACAUGGUACAGUGAGGAAAGGAGCAAUCCGCUAAUAGAUGGGCUUGCGUCUGAUUAGCUAGUUGGUGGGGUAAUGGCCUACCAAGGCGACGAUCAGUAGCCGGACUGGGAGGUUGAACGGCCACAUUGGGACUGAGAUACGGCCCAGACUCCUACGGGAGGCAGCAGUCGGGAAUAUUGCGCAAUGGAGGAAACUCUGACGCAGUGACGCCGCGUAUAGGAAGAAGGUUUUCGGAUUGUAAACUAUUGUCGUUAGGGAAGAUACAAGACAGUACCUAAGGAGGAAGCCCCGGCUAACUAUGUGCCAGCAGCCGCGGUAAUACAUAGGGGGCAAGCGUUAUCCGGAAUUAUUGGGUGUAAAGGGUGCGUAGACGGAGAUGCAAGUUGGUUGUGAAAUCCCUCGGCUCAACUGAGGAACUGCAACCAAAACUACAUCCCUUGAGUGUCGGAGGGGAAAGUGGAAUUCCUAGUGUAGCGGUGAAAUGCGUAGAUAUUAGGAGGAACACCGGUGGCGAAGGCGACUUUCUGGACGAUAACUGACGUUGAGGCACGAAAGUGUGGGGAGCAAACAGGAUUAGAUACCCUGGUAGUCCACACUGUAAACGAUGGAUACUAGGUGUAGGGUGUAUUAAGCACUCUGUGCCGCCGCAAACGCAUUAAGUAUCCCACCUGGGGAGUACGACCGCAAGGUUGAAACUCAAAGGAAUUGACGGGGGCCCGCACAAGCAGUGGAGUAUGUGGUUUAAUUCGAAGCAACGCGAAGAACCUUACCAGGGCUUGACAUAUACAGGAAUAACUUAGAGAUAGGUUAGCUCUUCGGAGCCUGUAUACAGGUGGUGCAUGGUUGUCGUCAGCUCGUGUCGUGAGAUGUUGGGUUAAGUCCCGCAACGAGCGCAACCCCUAUCGUUAGUUGCUAGCAGGUAAUGCUGAGAACUCUAGCGAGACUGCCGGUGAUAAAUCGGAGGAAGGUGGGGAUGACGUCAAAUCAUCAUGCCCUUUAUGUCCUGGGCUACACACGUACUACAAUGGCCGUAACAGAGGGAAGCAAUAUAGUGAUAUGGAGCAAAACCCUAAAAGCGGUCUCAGUUCGGAUUGAAGGCUGAAAUUCGCCUUCAUGAAGCUGGAAUUGCUAGUAAUGGCAGGUCAGCAUACUGCCGUGAAUACGUUCCNCGGGCCCUUGUACACACCGCCCGUC
RNAcentral lists this ribosomal RNA (1342 nucleotides) under uncultured bacterium. RNAcentral describes it as "16S ribosomal RNA". It matches the Rfam family "Bacterial small subunit ribosomal RNA", at positions 49 to 1398 of the family's 1533-position model. The record is from RNAcentral.